RNAcentral lists this long non-coding RNA (998 nucleotides) under Eutrema salsugineum. RNAcentral describes it as "long non-coding RNA (ESAL_LNC000141)". The record is from RNAcentral. Lineage: Eukaryota; Viridiplantae; Streptophyta; Magnoliopsida; Brassicales; Brassicaceae.
CACAUUAAGAACUCGAUCUCAAGAGAGAGAAGAGACCAUCAACUUGUGAUGAAAUCCUCACAAUAAACAUAAGUAGAACCGAAUCUAUGAGGAAGAAAACGAUUCUAUAAAGGGAAGGCAUCUAGUUUGAGACUAAUCUAAGCAAUGAACACAACACCUAGAGAGUUUGUGUUCUUGAGAUGCAGCGGAUUUAAGACUCAGUAAUCUAGAUGAGAGAAGCAAAUAAAGAAGAGUUUAGUGAGUGUUUCACAAGUAUUAGACUGCCAAAAGGCAGCCACUAAUCCGAAAUCUCUAUAAUCCUACAUUGUGUUUAUGAAUUAAACACAAGGUAAAGAGAGAGAGAGAGAAACGAAAAUAAGAACGAGAAAUGAGAGAUGAAUACUUGUGUAUUGAGUGUGUUCCCUUGUUUACAUAUUACAGCCCUUAUAUAGGGAAUUAAUCAAGUGUAAAUACAUGUAAACAGAGAUAAAAUGUCGCUGGAAUAAAGAGGAAGACAAAGUCACAUGUCUCCUUAUUUUUGUGUUCACACACGUGAAAGUGACAGCUGAUGGUCCCCUUUUGGUGUGUUCACACUCUUAAGAGUCACAUGUGAACUAAGGAGAGAACACAGCCUUUGAUGAGACAGAGACAGCUCCCAACGUCUCUCUUGACCAAGUGUGAACAGCAUCUUGAGCUGUAUGGUCUCUUAUCAGCUUCUAACGGUCUGAUCUUGAUCCGCAGCUCACAGCACAACUUGAUCUGUACGGACGCUUCUCGGUGUUCAGCCUCUAAGCGUCCUAUAUGCUGAUUCACUUAUCCAACUCCUUCUUAUCUCAACAUGUGAUCACUUAUCUGACUCCUCCUCAGGUCAACAUUGCCUCCUUUACACGUCUAAGUGUAAUUUAACUCCAUCAUUGGUCUUCUUUAAACCGCACCAAUGAUCAUCUUGAGUGGAGGUCUUCGGCCUUGUCUUCUUGACUUCGGCCUUGCCUCUUCUUCUCUUCUUUCCUCUCUAAUAC